This 775-nucleotide ribosomal RNA is filed under the name uncultured Neocallimastigales. RNAcentral's name for it is "partial large subunit ribosomal RNA". It matches the Rfam family "Eukaryotic large subunit ribosomal RNA", at positions 22 to 637 of the family's 3401-position model. The record is from RNAcentral. Lineage: Eukaryota; Fungi; Neocallimastigomycota; Neocallimastigomycetes; Neocallimastigales.
UGUACACGCUGUGACUAGCAUAUCAAUAAGCGGAGGAAAAGAAACUAACAAGGAUUCCCCUAGUAACGGCGAGUGAAGCGGGAAGAGCUCAAAUUUGAAAUCUUAAAGGGUUUCCCUUUACGAAUUGUAGUUUAAAGAAGUGUUUUCUGUUGAGGUUUUGGUAAAAGUUCUUUGGAAUAGGACAUCAUAGAGGGUGAGAAUCCCGUAUUUGACCUUUACUUUCAACUUUGUGAUACACUUUCAAAGAGUCGGAUUGUUUGGGAAUGCAGUCCAAAAUGGGUGGUAAAUUUCAUCUAAAGCUAAAUAUUGGCGAGAGACCGAUAGCGAACAAGUACCGUGAGGGAAAGAUGAAAAGAACUUUGAAAAGAGAGUUAAACAGUACGUGAAAUUGUCAAAAGGGAAGCGUUUGACACCAGUGUUGUUUUUCUGAAAAUCAAUUAAAGAACUGUUUAUGCUAAGUUGUUUAGACUUUAUCAGCUAACUGUUUAGUUUUGAGCUUUUCUUUAAUGCACUUUUCAGUUAACAAGUCAACAUCAAUUUCUUUUGCUGUAAAAAAGCUUGAGGAAGGUGGCUUGAGAUUCGUCUUAAGUGUUUAUAGCCUCUUGCCUAUGCAGUCGGAGAGAUUGAGGUCUGCAGCGUAGGUCCUUCGGGGCUAAAUGCAUUUGUGCUAAGUUAUAGCAUUUUAUAGACAACUUGUUGACUAUGAUUUGUCUUGUAGCUUACUCGCUUAUGUUAUUUUACCUACGCUUAGGAUGUUGACAGCAGUAUAGACUGU